AAUCCAUAGGUUAAUGAGGCGAACCGGGGGAACUGAAACAUCUAAGUACCCCGAGGAAAAGAAAUCAACCGAGAUUCCCCCAGUAGCGGCGAGCGAACGGGGAGGAGCCCAGAGCCUGAAUCAGCAUGUGUGUUAGUGGAAGCGUCUGGAAAGGCGCGCGAUACAGGGUGACAGCCCCGUACACAAAAGCGCAUGUGCUGUGAGCUCGAUGAGUAGGGCGGGACACGUGGUAUCCUGUCUGAAUAUGGGGGGACCAUCCUCCAAGGCUAAAUACUCCUGACUGACCGAUAGUGAACCAGUACCGUGAGGGAAAGGCGAAAAGAACCCCGGCGAGGGGAGUGAAAAAGAACCUGAAACCGUGUACGUACAAGCAGUGGGAGCACCCUUUGGGUGUGACUGCGUACCUUUUGUAUAAUGGGUCAGCGACUUAUAUUCUGUAGCAAGGUUAACCGAAUAGGGGAGCCGGAGGGAAACCGAGUCUUAACCGGGCGUUAAGUUGCAGGGUAUAGACCCGAAACCCGGUGAUCUAGCCAUGGGCAGGUUGAAGGUUGGGUAACACUAACUGGAGGACCGAACCGACUAAUGUUGAAAAAUUAGCGGAUGACCUGUGGCUGGGGGUGAAAGGCCAAUCAAACCGGGAGAUAGCUGGUUCUCCCCGAAAGCUAUUUAGGUAGCGCCUCGUGAAUUCAUCUCCGGGGGUAGAGCACUGUUUCGGCUAGGGGGCCAUCCCGGCUUACCAACCCGAUGCAAACUGCGAAUACCGGAGAAUGUUAUCACGGGAGACACACGGCGGGUGCUAACGUCCGUCGUGAAGAGGGAAACAACCCAGACCGCCAGCUAAGGUCCCAAAGUCAUGGUUAAGUGGGAAACGAUGUGGGAAGGCCCAGACAGCCAGGAUGUUGGCUUAGAAGCAGCCAUCAUUUAAAGAAAGCGUAAUAGCUCACUGGUCGAGUCGGCCUGCGCGGAAGAUGUAACGGGGCUAAACCAUGCACCGAAGCUGCGGCAGCGACACUGUGUGUUGUUGGGUAGGGGAGCGUUCUGUAAGCCUGUGAAGGUGUGUCGUGAGGCAUGCUGGAGGUAUCAGAAGUGCGAAUGCUGACAUAAGUAACGAUAAAGCGGGUGAAAAGCCCGCUCGCCGGAAGACCAAGGGUUCCUGUCCAACGUUAAUCGGGGCAGGGUGAGUCGACCCCUAAGGCGAGGCCGAAAGGCGUAGUCGAUGGGAAACGGGUUAAUAUUCCCGUACUUGGUGUUACUGCGAAGGGGGGACGGAGAAGGCUAUGUUGGCCGGGCGACGGUUGUCCCGGUUUAAGCGUGUAGGUGUGUGUUCCAGGUAAAUCCGGUUCACUUUAACACUGAGGCGUGACGACGAGGCACUACGGUGCUGAAGCAACAAAUGCCCUGCUUCCAGGAAAAGCCUCUAAGCAUCAGGUAACAUCAAAUCGUACCCCAAACCGACACAGGUGGUCAGGUAGAGAAUACCAAGGCGCUUGAGAGAACUCGGGUGAAGGAACUAGGCAAAAUGGUGCCGUAACUUCGGGAGAAGGCACGCUGACACGUAGGUGAAGUGAUUUACUCAUGGAGCUGAAGUCAGUCGAAGAUACCAGCUGGCUGCAACUGUUUAUUAAAAACACAGCACUGUGCAAACACGAAAGUGGACGUAUACGGUGUGACGCCUGCCCGGUGCCGGAAGGUUAAUUGAUGGGGUCAGCGCAAGCGAAGCUCCUGAUCGAAGCCCCGGUAAACGGCGGCCGUAACUAUAACGGUCCUAAGGUAGCGAAAUUCCUUGUCGGGUAAGUUCCGACCUGCACGAAUGGCGUAAUGAUGGCCAGGCUGUCUCCACCCGAGACUCAGUGAAAUUGAACUCGCUGUGAAGAUGCAGUGUACCCGCGGCAAGACGGAAAGACCCCGUGAACCUUUACUAUAGCUUGACACUGAACAUUGAGCCUUGAUGUGUAGGAUAGGUGGGAGGCUUUGAAGUGUGGACGCCAGUCUGCAUGGAGCCGACCUUGAAAUACCACCCUUUAAUGUUUGAUGUUCUAACGUGGACCCGUUACCCGGGUUGCGGACAGUGUCUGGUGGGUAGUUUGACUGGGGCGGUCUCCUCCUAAAGAGUAACGGAGGAGCACGAAGGUUGGCUAAUCCUGGUCGGACAUCAGGAGGUUAGUGCAAUGGCAUAAGCCAGCUUGACUGCGAGCGUGACGGCGCGAGCAGGUGCGAAAGCAGGUCAUAGUGAUCCGGUGGUUCUGAAUGGAAGGGCCAUCGCUCAACGGAUAAAAGGUACUCCGGGGAUAACAGGCUGAUACCGCCCAAGAGUUCAUAUCGACGGCGGUGUUUGGCACCUCGAUGUCGGCUCAUCACAUCCUGGGGCUGAAGUAGGUCCCAAGGGUAUGGCUGUUCGCCAUUUAAAGUGGUACGCGAGCUGGGUUUAGAACGUCGUGAGACAGUUCGGUCCCUAUCUGCCGUGGGCGCUGGAGAACUGAGGGGGGCUGCUCCUAGUACGAGAGGACCGGAGUGGACGCAUCACUGGUGUUCGGGUUGUCAUGCCAAUGGCACUGCCCGGUAGCUAAAUGCGGAAGAGAUAAGUGCUGAAAGCAUCUAAGCACGAAACUUGCCCCGAGAUGAGUUCUCCCUGAGACUUAGAGUCUCCUGAAGGAACGUUGAAG
Molecule: ribosomal RNA, 2663 nt
Filed under: Salmonella enterica subsp. enterica serovar Enteritidis
Lineage: Bacteria; Pseudomonadati; Pseudomonadota; Gammaproteobacteria; Enterobacterales; Enterobacteriaceae
Description: partial 23S ribosomal RNA
Rfam family: Bacterial large subunit ribosomal RNA
Source: RNAcentral